Molecule: transfer RNA, 76 nt
Filed under: Thermotogota bacterium ADurb.Bin062
Lineage: Bacteria; Thermotogati; Thermotogota
Also listed under: 2 other names
Description: Thermotogae bacterium ADurb.Bin062 tRNA-Lys
Rfam family: tRNA
About the family: Transfer RNA (tRNA) molecules are approximately 80 nucleotides in length. Their secondary structure includes four short double-helical elements and three loops (D, anti-codon, and T loops). Further hydrogen bonds mediate the characteristic L-shaped molecular structure. tRNAs have two regions of fundamental functional importance: the anti-codon, which is responsible for specific mRNA codon recognition, and the 3' end, to which the tRNAs corresponding amino acid is attached (by aminoacyl-tRNA synthetases). tRNAs cope with the degeneracy of the genetic code in two manners: having more than one tRNA (with a specific anti-codon) for a particular amino acid; and 'wobble' base-pairing, i.e. permitting non-standard base-pairing at the 3rd anti-codon position.
Source: RNAcentral
GGGCCGUUAGCUCAAUCGGUAGAGCAACUGACUCUUAAUCAGUAGGUUACAGGUUCGAUUCCUGUACGGCUCACCA